This 719-nucleotide long non-coding RNA is filed under the name Oncorhynchus kisutch (coho salmon). RNAcentral's name for it is "lncRNA (ENSOKIG00005005259.1)". Lineage: Eukaryota; Metazoa; Chordata; Actinopteri; Salmoniformes; Salmonidae. The record is from RNAcentral.
AUGUUCCAUGUCCUCUCUCUUUCUGUGUGUUGUCGUCCAUGUAUGGCGAGGGGCAUGUCUCUCUCUCUCUCUCUCUCUCUCUCUCUCUCUCUCGUCCAUGUAUGGCUUCAGUUAGAGAGGGGCAUGUCUCUCUCUCUCUCCCUCUCUCUCUCUCUCUCUCGUCCAUGUAUGGCUUCAGUUAGAGAGGGGCAUGUCCUCUCUCUUUCUGUGUGUUGUCGUCCAUGUAUGGCGAGGGGCAUGUCUCUCUCUCGCUCUCUCUCUCUCUCUCUCUCUCUCGUCCAUGUAUGGCUUCAGUUAGAGAGGGGCAUGUCCUCUCCAAACUUCAUACAGUGGGCAGCGUUCUUGGCUUCAACACCAUCUGGACAACAACAGGUAGAAGGGCAGGAGAGAAAUAAAAGGAGAGAAAGAAGAGAUUUAAGCACAUGGGGAACAUCAUAAAGAAAAUACCUUUUCACACAGCAUUAUUCCUAGCCUCAGACUACUACUGGCCCUGUGCUAUCUUCACACAAGCAGAGUACGGUCUUCACACAAGCAGAGUAUUCUGAAACCAACGGUCAACUUUAUGGGAAAAUUCUAAUUAGGUAACAAAGUAACUGAUUGGUUAGCCCUGAAAAGUUGGUGCUAACCCUGCUCCAGAGCAUAGCCAGCUAGCCCUGUGCUAAGGUUGGUGCUAACCCUGCUCUAGAGCACAGCCAGCUAGCCCUGGGCUAAGGUUGGUG